AGCAGCCGCGGUAAUUCCAGCUCCAAUAGCGUAUAUUAAAGUUGUUGCAGUUAAAAAGCUCGUAGUUGAAUUUCGGGGUCAGUAGGUCGGUCGUGCCACUGGUAUGAACUGGUUUUACUGAUUCCUCCCUCUUGAAGAACUGUAAUGCCAUUAAUUUGGUGUUGCAGGGAAACAGGACUGUUACUUUGAAAAAUUAGAGUGUUUAAAGCAGGCUUUAGCUUGAAUACAUUAGCAUGGAAUAAUGAAAUAGGACGUUUGAUCCUAUUUUGUUGGUUUCUAGGAUUGACGUAAUGAUUAAUAGGGAUAGUUGGGGGCAUUAGUAUUCAAUUGUCAGAGGUGAAAUUCUUGGAUUUAUUGAAGACUAACUACUGCGAAAGCAUUUGCCAAGGAUGUUUUCAUUAAUCAAGAACGAAAGUUAGGGGAUCGAAGACGAUCAGAUACCGUCGUAGUCUUAACCAUAAACUAUGACCGACUAGGGAUCGGAUGAUGUUAAUUUUUAAUGUACUCAUUCGGCG
Molecule: ribosomal RNA, 515 nt
Filed under: uncultured Glomus
Lineage: Eukaryota; Fungi; Glomeromycota; Glomeromycetes; Glomerales; Glomeraceae
Description: SSU rRNA
Rfam family: Eukaryotic small subunit ribosomal RNA
Source: RNAcentral